UACGUAGGGGGCAAGCGUUGUCCGGAUUUAUUGGGCGUAAAGAGCGUGUAGGCGGCCAGGUAGGUCUGCUGUGAAAACUCGAGGCUCAACCUCGAGACGUCGGCGGAAACCAUCUGGCUAGAGUCCGGAAGAGGAGAGUGGAAUUCCUGGUGUAGCGGUGAAAUGCGCAGAUAUCAGGAAGAACACCCGUGGCGAAGGCGGCUCUCUGGGACGGUACUGACGCUGAGACGCGAAAGCCAGGGGAGCAAACGGG
RNAcentral lists this ribosomal RNA (253 nucleotides) under uncultured bacterium. Its description in RNAcentral is "partial 16S ribosomal RNA". It matches the Rfam family "Bacterial small subunit ribosomal RNA", at positions 524 to 776 of the family's 1533-position model. The record is from RNAcentral.